RNAcentral lists this ribosomal RNA (191 nucleotides) under uncultured Alterococcus sp. RNAcentral's name for it is "partial 16S ribosomal RNA". It matches the Rfam family "Bacterial small subunit ribosomal RNA", at positions 337 to 525 of the family's 1533-position model. Lineage: Bacteria; Pseudomonadati; Verrucomicrobiota; Opitutia; Opitutales; Alterococcaceae. The record is from RNAcentral.
UCCUACGGGAGGCAGCAGUUUCGAAUCAUUCACAAUGGGGGCAACCCUGAUGGUGCGACGCCGCGUGGAGGAUGAAGGUCUUCGGAUUGUAAACUCCUGUCAAGGGGGACUAAAAGCGGGGCUCAUACCCCCGCCUGCAUCAACCCCUAGAGGAAGCAGUGGCUAACUCUGUGCCAGCAGCCGCGGUAAUA